This 468-nucleotide ribosomal RNA is filed under the name uncultured bacterium. RNAcentral's name for it is "partial 16S ribosomal RNA". It matches the Rfam family "Bacterial small subunit ribosomal RNA", at positions 28 to 507 of the family's 1533-position model. The record is from RNAcentral.
GACGAACGCUGGCGGCGUGCUUAACACAUGCAAGUCGAACGGAAAGGCCCUGCUUUUGUGGGGUGCUCGAGUGGCGAACGGGUGAGUAACACGUGAGUAACCUGCCCUUUACUUUGGGAUAACUUCAGGAAACUGGGGCUAAUACCGGAUCGGAGCUCCUGCUGCAUGGUGGGGGUUGGAAAGUUUCGGCGGUUGGGGAUGGACUCGCGGCUUAUCAGCUUGUUGGUGGGGUAGUGGCUUACCAAGGCUUUGACGGGUAUCCGGCCUGAGAGGGUGACCGGCCACAUUGGGACUGAGAUACGGCCCAGACUCCUACGGGAGGCAGCAGUGGGGAAUAUUGCACAAUGGGCGGAAGCCUGAUGCAGCAACGCCGCGUGCGGGAUGACGGCCUUCGGGUUGUAAACCGCUUUCGCCUGUGACGAAGCGUGAGUGACGGUAAUGGGUAAAGAAGCACCGGCUAACUACGUG